RNAcentral lists this unclassified non-coding RNA (224 nucleotides) under Hevea brasiliensis (rubber tree). The record is from RNAcentral. Lineage: Eukaryota; Viridiplantae; Streptophyta; Magnoliopsida; Malpighiales; Euphorbiaceae.
GAUUUUAGAAAGCAAACAUAUAACUAAAAGAAAACCAGAUAGUAUUAAAUCAUUCUUGAAAUUUAAUUAAACAUGGCCUGUCUUCUUGGGAUAAGUGAUGUAGGAGAAGCAUUUAUUGUAAGCUUUUGAAGCUAAUUCGAGUUACAGUCCUUUUUGUACUCUAAAUUUGUAGAAGAAUUCAGAUUUUUAAUUUGGAAAAGUGAUGCAGGCCAAGCAUGUGGUUU